UGGGGAAUAUUGGGCAAUGGGCGCAAGCCUGACCCAGCCACGCCGCGUGAGUGAUGAAGGCCUUCGGGUCGUAAAGCUCUGUGGGGAAGGACGAAAAAACAUUGGCUAAUAUCCAAUGGCUUGACGGUACUUCCUUAGCAAGCACCGGCUAACUCUGUGCCAGCAGCCGCGGUAAUACAGAGGGUGCAAACGUUGCUCGGAAUCAUUGGGCGUAAAGCGCACGUAGGCGGCCUGAUAAGUCGGUAGUGAAAGCCCUCGGCUUAACCGAGGAAGUGCUAUCGAAACUGCCAGGCUUGAGUACCGGAGAGGAUCGCGGAAUUCCCGGUGUAGAGGUGAAAUUCGUAGAUAUCGGGAGGAACACCUGUGGCGAAGGCGGCCACCUGGUUGGAUACUGACGCUGAGACGCGAAAGCGUGGGGAGCAAACAGGAUUAGAUACCCAGGUAGUCCCUGAGCGGGCUGGCAAGGCGCAU
Molecule: ribosomal RNA, 471 nt
Filed under: uncultured bacterium
Lineage: Bacteria
Description: bacterial SSU rRNA
Rfam family: Bacterial small subunit ribosomal RNA
Source: RNAcentral